RNAcentral lists this transfer RNA (65 nucleotides) under Nidirana pleuraden (Yunnan pond frog). RNAcentral describes it as "tRNA-Cys". It matches the Rfam family "tRNA". Rfam says of the family: Transfer RNA (tRNA) molecules are approximately 80 nucleotides in length. Their secondary structure includes four short double-helical elements and three loops (D, anti-codon, and T loops). Further hydrogen bonds mediate the characteristic L-shaped molecular structure. tRNAs have two regions of fundamental functional importance: the anti-codon, which is responsible for specific mRNA codon recognition, and the 3' end, to which the tRNAs corresponding amino acid is attached (by aminoacyl-tRNA synthetases). tRNAs cope with the degeneracy of the genetic code in two manners: having more than one tRNA (with a specific anti-codon) for a particular amino acid; and 'wobble' base-pairing, i.e. permitting non-standard base-pairing at the 3rd anti-codon position. Lineage: Eukaryota; Metazoa; Chordata; Amphibia; Anura; Ranidae. The record is from RNAcentral.
GGCCCUGGGGUGUUAACAUGUGGGGUUGCAAACCCUAAGAUGCAGGAUAAUACCUGCCGGGGCUU